This 1512-nucleotide unclassified non-coding RNA is filed under the name uncultured fungus. RNAcentral describes it as "sequence contains 18S rRNA gene, ITS1, 5.8S rRNA gene, ITS2, 28S rRNA gene". The stretch from base 591 to 1512 matches the Rfam family "Eukaryotic large subunit ribosomal RNA", at positions 1 to 961 of the family's 3401-position model. The record is from RNAcentral. Lineage: Eukaryota; Fungi.
GGUUGGAUCAUUACUGAUUUAUGCAGUCUCUGCUUGUCCCGGUGUAACAGCCAGUCGACUUGCAGAGGCUACUUACCCCUGUGCAAACAUGAUAGUUUUUUGGGUUGGUAUCUCUGGAUAUCGGCCCAGCAUUUACAAACCACUGUUUUAAUUUGUCUGAAACUAAGAGAAACAAUCAAUAACAACUUUUGACAACGGAUCUCUUGGCUCUCGCAACGAUGAAGAACGCAGCGAAAUGCGAUACGUGAUGUGAAUUGCAGAAUCUCGUGAAUCAUCGAAUCUUUGAACGCACAUUGCACUCUAGCUUGCUAGAGUAUGCCUGUUUGAGAAUCUAAUGUAUCUCUUCCAACCUUGGACCUUGGUUCAUUGCUUGGAGUUUUGGGGCUUCUGUUUUCCCGGAAACAGUGCGCUGAAUUAGAUUAACCAGCAGCGAGCUAUGUUAUGAUGGCCUGCAAAAGUCUGCUGAAAAGUAUAUGCAUGGAACUCUGGUUUCUCAUAGUACUAAUUAAGAGACAGCACUGCCUAGCAUGGUUUUUGACUGCGGGUCCACAACCAUAAAGUGAAUUCAGCAUUGAAUGCACUUGAAACAAUGGUCUCAAAUCAGGUAGGACUACCCGCUGAACUUAAGCAUAUCAAUAAGCGGAGGAAAAGAAACUAACAAGGAUUCCCUCAGUAACGGCGAGUGAAGUGGGAAUAGCUCAAAUUUGAAAUCUCUUCGGAGAAUUGUAGUUUAGAGAAGCGUUUUCGAGGUAGGCCCGUGGUACAAGUCCUUUGGAACAAGGCAUCACAGAGGGUGAAAAUCCCGUCUUUGACCAUGGGUCCUAUUUCAUAUGAUACGUUUUCCAAGAGUCGGUUUGUUUGGGAAUGCAGACCAAAAUGGGUGGUAAAUACCAUCUAAAGCUAAAUAUUGGCGAGAGACCGAUAGCGAACAAGUACCGUGAGGGAAAGAUGAAAAGAACUUUGAAAAGAGAGUUAAACAGUACGUGAAAUUGUCAAAAGGGAAACGUUUGAAACCAGUAUUGUAUGCAUGAAUUUAGCUGUGAUUUAUUGCAGUGCCCUUUUGUGUAGCAAGUCAACAUCAGUUUGGGCUUGAGUAAAAAGCCAGAGAAAGGUGAUCCUGCGGGAUGUUAUAGUCUCUGGUCAUGCUCAGGUCUGGACUGAGGACUGCGGCUUUGCCAAGGAUGUUGACGAAAUGGUUUUAAGUGACCCGUCUUGAAACACGGACCAAGGAGUCUAACAUGUAUGCGAGUAUUUGGGUGGUAAACCCUUGUGCGCAAUGAAAGUGAAAAGGUGGGAUCUUCGGAGCACCAUCGACCGCGCUCGAUUAUUACUAUUGUAGCGUGAGUAUGAGCAUACAUGCUAGGACCCGAAAGAUGGUGAACUAUACCUGAAUAGGGUGAAGCCAGAGGAAACUCUGGUGGAGGCUCGUAGAGGUUCUGACGUGCAAAUCGAUCUUCAAAUUUGGGUAUAGGGGCGAAAGACUAAUCGAACCAUCUAGUAGCUGGUUCCCUC